GUAACUGGGGUUAUCGAUGAGUGGUGCGUGCCAUUUUCCCUUGUAAGCUGGAUUCCUCUUCAUUGGCCUCUUCCAUUCACCACAACCAGGGGCAGUCACACACUUGGGAUUGUCAAUCUUUGGGGCCUCCCACUCACCAUCCUCCUCGUCAUCCCAAUCCUCUGGCUUUGUGGCUUCAGGAUCCUCUACCUCCUCAGGUUCAUCAUCCAACCAUCCUUCAGGUUUCUCUGCUUCCUCAUCUUCAAUUUCCAUGGGUGCAUCCUCAUCCCAAUCAUCAGGUUUAACUGCAUUAGGAUCCGGAAUUUUGGCUCUCUCAUCCCAAUCCUCAG
This 329-nucleotide long non-coding RNA is filed under the name Fragaria vesca (wild strawberry). RNAcentral's name for it is "long non-coding RNA (FVES_LNC005374)". Lineage: Eukaryota; Viridiplantae; Streptophyta; Magnoliopsida; Rosales; Rosaceae. The record is from RNAcentral.